AGAGUGAGCUUCUCCAGAAUUGAUGUUUGUUGGAGAAAGCAACCAAGAGCGCAGAAAUUAUGCCCAACGACCCAUCCAUCAAGAAGCAAAGUCUUUAACUUGCUGAAUGUGGGGCACCAUGUCAAGUCUUGCUUCAAAAUACAAUGUACAAAGUAAGAUGGAACAUAUCAUUUUAACAUACAACACGACAUGAAACUGUACAUUGGAAUGGAUAGACCUUUUAAGUAAAUUCAGGACGUAACAAAACAGGCAAUAAGGAUCUCUCGAGUCUCGACAGACAUAGACAUAUUCUAGUCUUAAAAAUACUGAUUGAAGUCUUGCAAAAAUUACCAGAGAUCUAAACUAUCUAGUGUUCCACCUGAUACCAGAAGCAUAAAAACCAUAAAAAUGCAAUUAUUCACCCACCCACCCACACAAACCAACUUGCAGGGAUGUCCUCAAAUAGGUACAAGGUAAGGCAGGACAGAAAUCCAUGAUAACAUACAACAAAUUAUGUUUUGAGUAUAAAGCUAAUGAAUAUGAACACACACGUACCAUCCCAGCUUCAGCUACUAAUUCCAAAUUUGCAGCAUUUGACAGACCUCUGAAAAACUUAUACUUGACACUGCCAUCACCGUCAGGAUCACCAUCACAAC
This 635-nucleotide long non-coding RNA is filed under the name Oryza sativa (Asian cultivated rice). Its description in RNAcentral is "long non-coding RNA (OSAT_LNC001931)". The record is from RNAcentral. Lineage: Eukaryota; Viridiplantae; Streptophyta; Magnoliopsida; Poales; Poaceae.